GUUUUCCCACAUAUUGUUCUUAUGAUAGUAAGUGAGUUUUUUAUGGAAACCCAGAACUGUCCUAGUUCUUUAAAACCAGGUCAAAUUUGGGGACAUAUUUCCAUAGUAGAAUGGAGAAGAGGGUGGAAGUCAUGGGGACUUGCAGUGUCACACAUAGGCAUGUUUCAUGUUCACCAUCUUAGUAAAAAUAUGACAAAACCAGCCCUUCCCCCACCUGAUGGGCCUUCCUUAUCCACCCGGGGAAGGUGAAGACAAAGGCCAUAUAAUCUUGGGAGUUCUAGAGUCCCACCCACUGCCAGUUCCUCUCCAUACUACCACAGCUGAUGCUCUCUGGAACUUGACUCCCUGGCCCCCUCCGCUGAACACGUGCUGG
RNAcentral lists this long non-coding RNA (373 nucleotides) under Pan troglodytes (chimpanzee). Its description in RNAcentral is "long non-coding RNA NONPTRT014651". Lineage: Eukaryota; Metazoa; Chordata; Mammalia; Primates; Hominidae. The record is from RNAcentral.